CUACCAUGGCGAUCACGGGUAACGGAGAAUUAGGGUUCGAUUCCGGAGAGGGAGCCUGAGAAACGGCUACCACUUCUAUGGAAGGCAGCAGGCGCGUAAAUUACCCAAUCCUGACUAAGGGAGGUAGUGACAAGAAAUAUCGAAUCGGGUGUUGAUACACUGCGAGUUUGAAAUGAGAACAACCUAAAAAACUUAACGAGGAGCGAUUGGAGGGCAAGUCUGGUGCCAGCAGCCGCGGUAAUUCCAGCUCCGAUAGCGUAUAUUAAAGUUGUUGCAGUUAAAAAGCUCGUAGUUGAACUUCUAAGGAUUGAAGUCGCCUUAUGGCUUGUAUUGAUAUCCUUAUCCGCUUUGAUUUAGCAAUACGCACUUUGUUGGGCGAUUGUGUAAUCAGGCAAUUUACUUUGAAAAAAUUAGAGUGUUUCAAGCAGGCGAUUUGCUGGAAUACAUUAGCAUGGAAUAAUAGAACACGACCUCUUAGGCAUUUUAUUGGUAUAUGACUGGAGGUAAUGAUUAACAGGGACAGUUGGGGGCAUUAGUAUUGCAUUGUCAGAGGUGAAAUUCAUUGAUUAGUGCAAGACUAACUUAUGCGAAAGCAUUUGCCAAGGAUGUUUUCAUUAAUCAA
Molecule: ribosomal RNA, 622 nt
Filed under: Ciliophora sp.
Lineage: Eukaryota; Ciliophora
Description: SSU rRNA
Rfam family: Eukaryotic small subunit ribosomal RNA
Source: RNAcentral